AUUUUUAUAUGGAUACCGCGUGUUGCUCCAUUUGAUGAUGUUAAAACCCGAGAUAUAAAUGCCGCCCAUAAUUAGGGUUUCUUCCCUGCUACUCUUCCAUUUCUCUCUGCCGCUCCUUCAUCUGUGAGUCAAUCUGAUCGUCAUCUUCAUCAUAAAGGAUUUCGUUGAUUGUUGAAAUCGAUAAAGAUUCACUCUGUUCUUGGUUCGAUCUAAACAGGUGGAAGAAAAGGAUGAAAUCAAUGGUCGUUUCAAGAUGGGGUUGUUUUCAAGAUUUAAGUUAUAACAGUCUCUACCUGGGAGAUUUAUAUCUUCAUGGAGAGGAAGGUGGCCAAUGAUGCAGAUCUGAGCUAAGACUGGUUAGCAUGUAGCGAAGUUGCACAAAAACAAAUAUAAAAAAUUCCUGAGCCGCAGUCGUUUUUUAGUGCCUCAGCCCUUUUGAGGCGCACAUUCAAUAUAAACCCCCUGAGGUGCCUCAUAAUCGUUUUUUGGGCGUUUCGCCUCGCACGCCUCAACCGUUUUUUAAAACCAAGACCUUGACCAUAAAAUGGUUGUCCAUGAGAUUCAGCUUGGAUUCAACCAAGGCCAACAGAAUUCGUUGUAAGCUAGGUCUUUGAUGCCACUUGCCUCACUCGAGAUGCAGCCAUACCUACUACUGCUAAUAUCCCAAACAAAGCUUGCAAAAGAUAGCGAGAAGCAGUGCCAACCUAUUACACAAUUGAAAUUCAUAAUAGAAGCUUGGUUACUGAUAGUUGAAUGCAAGCGAGUGAUAAAAUGGACUUAUGCAUAUGCGUAUUACCUACCUAAGCACGGCCGCACGGGCAUGCAAAGAGGAAGUUUUAAGUACUUACAAGGUAUGCUGAUGCAUUCAGUAACUUCUGAACAAGGCUGGUUUGACUAGAAAUAAUCUGAGAUUGCGUCUUUGCUGACUAAUAGAAAGGUGACAAUCGGGGUCGGAAGUAACCCAAAAAUCAGAAACAGCAAUGUAGACAGGAAUGCAAAGAUUGGAAGUGAUGUGAUGAUCAUGAAUAAAUACUGAAACAGGGGAGAUUCAGGUUCAGGUAAACCGGCUACUUUGUACAAAUCUGAAAAGAGGCAAGAGUUAAAAGAGGAAGAUUAACUUUGGUUGGAUGUGGAUGGAAAGCAUUUCUUGCAUAUGUGAAUGUUGGAUGUGGGUUCGAUUGCCACUUGGUUCUUUGAUGGCCUUCAUGAUUAACUUUGGUGCUAAGAUUAAACAAUUUUCAAGAAACGAGGAAAAUGCUUACAACAAUUCCGAUUACACUUAAAAAUGGUUAAGCUAGAAGUACCCAUAAAUACGAUAUCUCUUGUGGAGCUUCGAAAAAGUGGUUUGCCCCAUGCUCAUAUGAAUUCCAGCUGCUGUUUAGGUUGGAGAAUCCGGGAUGUUGGCUGUGAUGCUUGAUUAUGGGGAAGUGAUGUUCAAUCCUUCAAUGAAGAAUAUGCCAAGAAGUGCUUGAUGACCAAUUUGUGAGAAUCAAGAAAGGCAACGGCUUGCUAAUGUGUUCUCUAAUAAAAGCUCAAAGUGGAUUAGCAUUUGUUAUAACAAAUGUAAAAGUCAACAGCUUGAUGUAAAGAGCUAUAAAAGUCAACAAUUAUUGCUAUGGAGACGACCAGGAGAGAUAGUCAAGACAGUGGAAAUUACUAAAUGGACGAUUGGAGAAGAAACUCUUGCCAAUCAAAGAUAGGCAUGGCAAGUAUUGCAGCCACAACGAAAAACCAAUUUUGAGCCUAAAUAAUUUAUGAUGUUUGGUUUCUAUUCAUUCUUUGGUAUCAAAUUUGAUAUGCAGAAACUAUCAUAUAUGUUUUGUAUAACUGUUUCAAGUUCAUGAUUUUAUACUAAAACCCAAUUAGUGGUUUGAAACUUGAAAAAAUAAA
Long non-coding RNA from Helianthus annuus (common sunflower), 1890 nucleotides. RefSeq lists it as uncharacterized. NCBI's taxonomy places the organism in Eukaryota, Viridiplantae, Streptophyta, Magnoliopsida, Asterales, Asteraceae. The transcript is spliced from 14 exons. The record is from RefSeq and is a predicted model, not a curated record.